This 29-nucleotide non-coding RNA is filed under the name Mus musculus (house mouse). The record is from RNAcentral. Lineage: Eukaryota; Metazoa; Chordata; Mammalia; Rodentia; Muridae.
UGGGUGUCUGAAAAGUGACAGUGCACUCA